CCUUUCUCUUUCCAGUACAACUAACUGGAAUGAUUCAAGAGGUAGAUAGUUCGGAAAGUUCGACGAAUUCGAGUGAUUACGAUCAAGGUGCAAGCGAGGAGAAACAAUGGUUGCUGCUUGCUGGAAUGUUUGUGUUUGCGCUGGAGCAGUACAUCUUAAAGAAUGUUCUCCCCGGCGAUAAGGUCAACCCUUAUGUAUUCCCGAGAAACAUCAAAGAUAUAGAAAACGAUAUAAAGAUCAACACCUAAAGUGAAGUAACCGGAAUUGAGCAGACGCCCGCCGAAAAAUGGCGAGUACUACAAGAGAGACUGGGCUGGAAGAGAGAAUACAAAGAUGUGAUAUCAACCGCUAAAGACGCCUACUUAAAGGUUAACCCUUCUGCUGACAUUGAGGAAAAUAAACACCGAGACCCUCAGCCAGCUUGACGUCCAUAAGGCAUUCGAACACGUGCUUUGCCCAGAGCUGAGGGCGGCGGGAAGAGAAGUGGCUCAAAUAGUCAUAGGGCUAAG
Nematostella vectensis (starlet sea anemone) is the source of this 509-nucleotide long non-coding RNA. RefSeq lists it as uncharacterized. The record is from RefSeq and is a predicted model, not a curated record. NCBI's taxonomy places the organism in Eukaryota, Metazoa, Cnidaria, Anthozoa, Actiniaria, Edwardsiidae. The transcript has 3 exons.